RNAcentral lists this signal recognition particle RNA (297 nucleotides) under Mus musculus (house mouse). Its description in RNAcentral is "long non-coding RNA chr12:69159294-69159591". It matches the Rfam family "Metazoan signal recognition particle RNA". From Rfam's summary of the family: The signal recognition particle (SRP) is a universally conserved ribonucleoprotein. It is involved in the co-translational targeting of proteins to membranes. The eukaryotic SRP consists of a 300-nucleotide 7S RNA and six proteins: SRPs 72, 68, 54, 19, 14, and 9. Lineage: Eukaryota; Metazoa; Chordata; Mammalia; Rodentia; Muridae. The record is from RNAcentral.
GCCGGGCGCGGUGGCGCACGCCUGUAGUCCCAGCUACUCGGGAGGCUGAGACAGGAGGAUCGCUUGAGUCCAGGAGUUCUGGGCUGUAGUGCGCUAUGCCGAUCGGGUGUCCGCACUAAGUUCGGCAUCAAUAUGGUGACCUCCCGGGAGCGGGGGACCACCAGGUUGCCUAAGGAGGGGUGAACCGGCCCAGGUCGGAAACGGAGCAGGUCAAAACUCCCGUGCUGAUCAGUAGUGGGAUCGCGCCUGUGAAUAGCCACUGCACUCCAGCCUGGGCAACAUAGCGAGACCCCGUCU